ACCACUGACUGGUGAGGGAAUUGCCCUAUGAUGGAUGGGCCUGCCUCAAGCUGCCAUAAGCUGGGAGGACCGACGGUUGACUGACACUGCCUGCUUGGUUGGCCAUUACCGAUUCUUAAGAAAAGGAGGACCGCCAAGCUUGGAUGAGACUGGAAAAUUACGAAGCUCUAUCUGGACAAGGAUGCCCUCAUCAGACACUUUCCAAUUUGCGGAAUAUUUGAUCAAAAAUCAGACUGCAUAUUAUUUUGCAAUAUUAUAAAACAUAAAAACGACGAAAAUACGAAUUCUUACUCCAAAGUUACCGCUAUAAUUGGAAGAAAUAAAAGCUUAAAUCACUGUUACUUGUUAACUUUACUGAGAUACCUAUACCUGAAAUAUUUGACAACGAAUAUGACGAAAAUUGAAGAAAAAAGUCAAAUGUGUGUUAAAUACAUUGCAGUGAAAAUCAAAUCAUGAGCGGAUCUUCUUCUCACAGAAAUGUUUCUCCGCUUCCAACAAGUGGCUGAGAAAAUGAUGAAAUUUACGCCGAAAAUAACUGAAAUCAGUGUUGUUUUUACCUUUACUGCGAUACCUACAGGAAAUAUUUGACUAAACGCGUGUGACGAAACGUGGAAACAAAAAUCAAAUCGGUCCAAAUUAAA
Patiria miniata (bat star) is the source of this 641-nucleotide long non-coding RNA. RefSeq lists it as uncharacterized. The transcript has 2 exons. NCBI's taxonomy places the organism in Eukaryota, Metazoa, Echinodermata, Asteroidea, Valvatida, Asterinidae. The record is from RefSeq and is a predicted model, not a curated record.